UACGUAGGGAGCAAGCGUUGUCCGGAUUUAUUGGGCGUAAAGAGCUCGUAGGCGGUUUGGUAAGUCUGGUGUGAAAUCUCCACGCUCAACGUGGAGGGGCCACCCGAUACUGCCAUGACUGGAGUCCGGUAGAGGAGUGUGGAAUUCCCGGUGUAGCGGUGAAAUGCGCAGAUAUCGGGAGGAACACCCGUGGCGAAGGCGGCUACCUGGCCCAAUACUGACACUCAGGUGCGACAGCGUGGGGAGCAAACAGG
This 254-nucleotide ribosomal RNA is filed under the name uncultured bacterium. RNAcentral's name for it is "partial 16S ribosomal RNA". It matches the Rfam family "Bacterial small subunit ribosomal RNA", at positions 524 to 776 of the family's 1533-position model. The record is from RNAcentral.